RNAcentral lists this long non-coding RNA (1094 nucleotides) under Betta splendens (Siamese fighting fish). Its description in RNAcentral is "lncRNA (ENSBSLG00000025364.1)". The record is from RNAcentral. Lineage: Eukaryota; Metazoa; Chordata; Actinopteri; Anabantiformes; Osphronemidae.
GUUGCAGUGGCUGGGGCGCAUCCAUCCAUCACGCCAGUCACAUCUGGGUUGACUAACGCCGCCUGGAGCGCUUCCUCGUGGUCUCGGCUCAGAGCGGCCGCUUCUCAUGGGCCAGGCCAAGAUAUAAGCGGCGCAGAGGAAACACACGUCAGAGCGUUUCUGAAGAAAAUAACGAGCAGUUCCCGAGGCAACCGGCAUGAAAGGCCCAAACAGAGCUGUAAGGCCAUUGGUGUGUGUGUCAGCAAAGAAGAAAUACCUAAUAGGCCUUUACAUAACAGGUACGUUGUAUACAGCAACUCGAAUGACCCCUCGAUUAAACCUGGUGCACAGGCCUGAAAGCCUGGAUCACACUAACCCACAGCAAACAGAGCCUUGAUUUGUGAUCUCGCCCAGGUUCUCCCAGGCCGCUGCCCUGGCAGCUUAAAUUGCUGAUGUUUGUUUUCCAGUGGCCAAAGGAGACGGGGCUGAGUCAUGACAUUCGAGCCGCAAUCAAACUCAAAUCAGUGAUUACUCAGAAGCAACCACCACAAACAAUGAGGAGGAAAGAAAGAAAAAAAAACCCUGCCCGUCGCUUCAGGAGUUUCACCUGGUCACGACUGAGAGGCGCUGGUGUGAUCAGCUCGGCUGAUGGUGAAGUUCACUCCACCCGGCUAUUAUGGCGGGGUUGCUCUCCAGGGACCCCCAACACAGACGCUCGUUUGGAAACCCCAAGCAAGCCUGCAUUUGAGCGAGGGAGAGGAAGAGGGGAAGGAAAGGAUGAAGAGAAGGACAGAACAGCCUUGGCUGCAUCUUCCUGAGUCUGUGAUUUCCAUCCACUGUGAAUGUAAACAAACACAGACAUGAAAGAGGGAAACACAGUCGAGCGGAGAGAAACAUCGGAGGAGGCGAAGGAGGAGAGAAGAAACAGUCGGCCGGCAAAACAUAUCUUGGCAGCAGGCGUGAGAUACAAGUCACCAGCUCAUUAGCUGGUAGCGCUGCCAGAGACGGAGACAAAAAGCACAUGCAGGCUACAAAAGCAGGACUCCAGACACACUGGCACAGACACCACUUCUGUGUUUGCUGCAGCUGCACAAUAAAGAGCCCGGACUGAGGCA